Molecule: ribosomal RNA, 447 nt
Filed under: uncultured bacterium
Lineage: Bacteria
Description: bacterial SSU rRNA
Rfam family: Bacterial small subunit ribosomal RNA
Source: RNAcentral
UGGGGAAUAUUGGACAAUGGGCGAAAGCCUGAUCCAGCAAUACCGCGUGAGUGAUGAAGGCCUUAGGGCUGUAAAACUCUUUCAGUGGGGAAGAUAAUGACGGUACCCACAGAAGAAGCACCGGCUAACUCCGUGCCAGCAGCCGCGGUAAUACGGAGGGUGCAAGCGUUGUUCGGAAUUACUGGGCGUAAAGAGUGCGUAGGCGGCUUGGCAAGUUGGGAGUGAAAUCCCGGGGCUCAACCUCGGAAUUGCUCUCAAAACUGCUGAGCUAGAGUAUGGUAGGGGAUAGUGGAAUUCCUAGUGUAGGGGUGAAAUCCGUAGAUAUUAGGAGGAACACCAGAGGCGAAGGCGACUAUCUGGGCCAUUACUGACGCUAAGGUACGAAAGCGUGGGGAGCAAACAGGAUUAGAUACCCAGGUAGUCCCUGAGCGGGCUGGCAAGGCGCAU